ACGGGAGGCAGCAGUGGGGAAUAUUGCACAAUGGGGGAAACCCUGAUGCAGCGACGCCGCGUGAAGGAAGAAGGUUUUCGGAUCGUAAACUUCUAUCAGCAGGGAAGAUAGUGACAGUACCUGACUAAGAAGCCCCGGCUAACUACGUGCCAGCAGCCGCGGUAA
Molecule: ribosomal RNA, 165 nt
Filed under: Firmicutes bacterium enrichment culture clone 4.17b Bac band 2
Lineage: Bacteria; Bacillati; Bacillota
Description: partial 16S ribosomal RNA
Rfam family: Bacterial small subunit ribosomal RNA
Source: RNAcentral